RNAcentral lists this ribosomal RNA (275 nucleotides) under Dorea longicatena. Its description in RNAcentral is "partial 16S ribosomal RNA". It matches the Rfam family "Bacterial small subunit ribosomal RNA", at positions 502 to 776 of the family's 1533-position model. Lineage: Bacteria; Bacillati; Bacillota; Clostridia; Lachnospirales; Lachnospiraceae. The record is from RNAcentral.
UAUGGUAAUUCCGCCGCGGUAAUACGUAGGGGGCAAGCGUUAUCCGGAUUUACUGGGUGUAAAGGGAGCGUAGACGGCACGGCAAGCCAGAUGUGAAAGCCCGGGGCUCAACCCCGGGACUGCAUUUGGAACUGCUGAGCUAGAGUGUCGGAGAGGCAAGUGGAAUUCCUAGUGUAGCGGUGAAAUGCGUAGAUAUUAGGAGGAACACCAGUGGCGAAGGCGGCUUGCUGGACGAUGACUGACGUUGAGGCUCGAAAGCGUGGGGAGCAAACAGG